UGAAACACCAGCCAUUUGGACUGUCUCUUCCCUUUCUGMUCAGGAUGGGAAAGCCAAGGGAAUGCCUGGGGCAGGGAGAUCACAUGCAGGACACACRGGGAAACAUUUCCCCAUGUUGUGACACUGCUGUGCCUCUUUCACCCAUGUCUUUGCCCAYGCAGGCACCCCGUCCCCCAGCCCAGCAUCCCAGAAAAGACAUCAGCUCUUCCAGCAGAGACCAGAAAGGAGGAUCCCUCCAGAAGUGCCAGCGUCCUGGCUUCUGCAUCCUUAUUCCCGGGAGAGCAGGAGACACCAGGRCCUGUCACGCUCACUCAGGUAGGUCUGUUGGGGCCAUGCUCCCUGGGAGAGGUGCAGGACCACGAGCAUCACCUGAGAAGCAUUUUUAUAAUGCCC
Nothoprocta perdicaria is the source of this 393-nucleotide long non-coding RNA. RefSeq lists it as uncharacterized. The record is from RefSeq and is a predicted model, not a curated record. The transcript is spliced from 2 exons. Lineage: Eukaryota; Metazoa; Chordata; Aves; Tinamiformes; Tinamidae.